RNAcentral lists this ribosomal RNA (250 nucleotides) under uncultured Prevotellaceae bacterium. RNAcentral's name for it is "partial 16S ribosomal RNA". It matches the Rfam family "Bacterial small subunit ribosomal RNA", at positions 89 to 339 of the family's 1533-position model. Lineage: Bacteria; Pseudomonadati; Bacteroidota; Bacteroidia; Bacteroidales; Prevotellaceae. The record is from RNAcentral.
UGGCGACCGGCGCACGGGUGAGUAACGCGUAUCCAACCUUCCCAUAGCUAGGGAAUAACCUUGCGAAAGUAAGACUAAUGCCCUAUAACAUUCUUUGCAGACAUCUAAAGAGAAUUAAAGAUUUAUCGGCUAUGGAUGGGGAUGCGUCUGAUUAGGUUGUUGGCGGGGUAACGGCCCACCAAGCCCACGAUCAGUAGGGGUUCUGAGAGGAAGGUCCCCCACAUUGGAACUGAGACACGGUCCAAACUCC